UACAUCAACAGUAUUUCUUCUUUCAAUUCAUUUUCUUGCCUCACAUCUUUGCCUUUAGAUCUUUAUUUCCCAAAUUUCUGUGUGUUGUAGUUCUCCCGACUGCCAGAGGGGGAAAAAAAGGUAGAGAAAAAUGAAUUUAAAGAAGAUAUUUUUUAUCUAAACCAUUGAUUUAACUCCAAUUUUUGUGAUAGAUCUUCUAGACUUUUGAUUUUUCUUCAUUGGAAAACCUUAAAAGGUGAGUUUUUUUUUUGUUAACAGAAUGGAGCAUAUAUUCUUUUGUCAUUUUUAUUGUAAAACCUGUUGUUCUAUUUUUGCAGCAUGAAGAGAGUGACAGAUGAUGUAUAUGAUAGCCCUUCAUUUAAGCUACCAUUUGGUUCUUCCCAUGGAGAAUCAUAAUUAGGUACGGUCAAUCGCAAGUUCGUGAAAGUUGUUUGGAUGGAAAAGGAGUGGCAGCCACAUAGAUGGAGCUGGUUCUAGUGCUAUUGCUUGCAAACCAAAGCUGAUAGCUAAUGAUGCAUUAUCGUAUUUGAAGGAAGUUAAGAGCAUGUUUCAGAACGAAAGGGAGAAAUAUGACAUGUUCCUUGAUGCUACGAUGGACUUUAACGGACGAAGAAUUGGUACCGUUGGUGUAAUAGAAAGAGCGAAAGAAUUGUAUCCUUUCUUGCCCAAUUGGCUAUGAAAUAAUCCGCAAUGACGAUGAUAAGGCUACUCCGAAGAAAACAGUUUACGCGGAACAAGCAAGCAGCUUAGUGAACAGAAUAAAGGAAUGUUCAAAAAAGGAACAUGAGUGCAAAUCCUUCCCAGAUAUUAAUGUUGCGAAGUCAAUUGAUACUUCUGCUAGGAUGGAUGCUAAGGAGGAGGCGAAGAACAAUUUCCACAUGGACAAGCUGAGACGAGGUACUAGAAGUGUUGUUCCACCUAGAAGGAUCGAUAAUUGGUUUUGGGAAGGAGGAAAAUCACGUGAGCAAGGCCAAAGUUAGUUAUGGAAUUUGUAUAGAAGUGUGAGAACAUCAUAGGAAGGGAUAAGGAUGUUAUUUCAUAUUGGGAAUAUUCUCAACUCUUUCUUUGUUCUUGUCAACCCCUUCCUGACUUCUAGUUUUAAAUUUCAAGUGUAUUUCUUUGUUUCGUUGUUCCCUGCAAUUUUCCCUAUUUUGUUGUAUUGUAUGUUAAUUAUAUUCAGUAAAACAUAAUAAAAUAUAUUAGUGUUUGUAUU
This is a long non-coding RNA of Capsicum annuum, 1213 nucleotides long. RefSeq lists it as uncharacterized. The record is from RefSeq and is a predicted model, not a curated record. The transcript has 4 exons. Lineage: Eukaryota; Viridiplantae; Streptophyta; Magnoliopsida; Solanales; Solanaceae.